GUUCUUUAACGUUCAUUGCAGUCAGCAGAUCAGACACGGACAGUAGGUUCCAAGCAUAGACUGUAUUUCCCACUAUUUUCUAUUUCAAGUUGUAGUAGCAGUUAAGUAUAACCAUGAACACUCCAAGGCGAUCGCCAAAUGAGGUUGCAAAUGCUUGGCGAAGGAGUUCGUGACCACUUUCAGAUGAGGAGGAACAUGCUAGUAUCAAUACGAGCCUUCGUGACGUUUUGAGGGCAAUGGGUGACAUCAGGAGUUCGAUUGAUGAUUUGAGAGGUGACCUAAAACAACUCCAGGACACUGUGACUGGAAUGGGACAGCAGCCCUCCUCCAGCACCAACAACAAAGUGCCACAUGAACAUGAAGUAUUUCAUUCACACAUACAAGUAAAGAACAAAAGAACAGAUGAAUUGA
This is a long non-coding RNA of Alosa alosa (allis shad), 411 nucleotides long. RefSeq lists it as uncharacterized. The record is from RefSeq and is a predicted model, not a curated record. NCBI's taxonomy places the organism in Eukaryota, Metazoa, Chordata, Actinopteri, Clupeiformes, Clupeidae. The transcript has 3 exons.